UUUUAUGGAGAGUUUGAUCCUGGCUCAGGAUGAACGCUGGCGGCGUGCCUAAUACAUGCAAGUCGAGCGAACAGAUAAGGAGCUUGCUCCUUUGACGUUAGCGGCGGACGGGUGAGUAACACGUGGAUAACCUACCU
This 137-nucleotide ribosomal RNA is filed under the name Brevibacterium casei. RNAcentral's name for it is "partial 16S ribosomal RNA". It matches the Rfam family "Bacterial small subunit ribosomal RNA", at positions 1 to 131 of the family's 1533-position model. The record is from RNAcentral. Lineage: Bacteria; Bacillati; Actinomycetota; Actinomycetes; Micrococcales; Brevibacteriaceae.